UGCCAGCCGCCGCGGUAAUACCGGCGCCUCAAGUGGUAGUCGCUUUUAUUGGGCCUAAAACGUCCGUAGCCGGCUCUGUAAGUUUUCGGUUAAAUCUGUACGCUCAACUCUGAGACGUCGGGGGAUACUGCUGAACUUGAGACUGUCAGAGGCAGGUGGAAUUCCCGGUGUAGUGGUGAAAUGCGUAGAUAUCGGGAGGAACACCAGUGGCGUAAGCGGCCUGCUGGGACAGUUCUGACGCUGAGGGACGAAAGCGUGGGGAGCAAACCGGAUUAGAUA
Molecule: ribosomal RNA, 279 nt
Filed under: uncultured bacterium
Lineage: Bacteria
Description: partial 16S ribosomal RNA
Rfam family: Bacterial small subunit ribosomal RNA
Source: RNAcentral